RNAcentral lists this ribosomal RNA (253 nucleotides) under uncultured bacterium. Its description in RNAcentral is "partial 16S ribosomal RNA". It matches the Rfam family "Bacterial small subunit ribosomal RNA", at positions 524 to 776 of the family's 1533-position model. The record is from RNAcentral.
GACAGAGGGGGCGAGCGUUGUCCGGAGUCACUGGGCGUAAAGCGCGCGCAGGCGGCAACCUAAGUGUCGUGUGAAAGCCCCCGGCUCAACCGGGGGAGGCCAUGGCAAACUGGGUCGCUCGAGCUGCGGAGAGGCCCCUCGAAUUGCCGGUGUAGCGGUGAAAUGCGUAGAGAUCGGCAGGAAGACCAAGGGGGAAGGCAGGGGGCUGGCCGCAGGCUGAAGCUGAGGAGCGACAGCGUGGGGAGCAAACCGG